This 497-nucleotide ribosomal RNA is filed under the name uncultured bacterium. RNAcentral describes it as "partial 16S ribosomal RNA". It matches the Rfam family "Bacterial small subunit ribosomal RNA", at positions 28 to 507 of the family's 1533-position model. The record is from RNAcentral.
GAUGAACGCUGGCGGCGUGCCUAAUACAUGCAAGUCGAGCGAACAGACGAGGAGCUUGCUCCUCUGACGUUAGCGGCGGGCGGGUGAGUAACACGUGGAUAACCUACCUAUAAGACUGGGAUAACUUCGGGAAACCGGAGCUAAUACCGGAUAAUAUAUUGAACCGCAUGGUUCAAUAGUGAAAGACGGUUUUGCUGUCACUUAUAGAUGGAUCCGCGCCGCAUUAGCUAGUUGGUAAGGUAACGGCUUACCAAGGCAACGAUGCGUAGCCGACCUGAGAGGGUGAUCGGCCACACUGGAACUGAGACACGGUCCAGACUCCUACGGGAGGCAGCAGUAGGGAAUCUUCCGCAAUGGGCGAAAGCCUGACGGAGCAACGCCGCGUGAGUGAUGAAGGUCUUCGGAUCGUAAAACUCUGUUAUUAGGGAAGAACAAACGUGUAAGUAACUAUGCACGUCUUGACGGUACCUAAUCAGAAAGCCACGGCUAACUACGUG